GACGCUGCAUAAGAGUCUCCUGGUUAAAAACCGCCAUGGACGGUGGCGGUGUUGCUUGACCGACGGCUUUACUCGGGUCUGUUGAGGUGAAAUAAGGUGGCUGAGGAAGUUGCUGUGGCUGUGGCGGCGUAACCCAGAAAGAACUGAGAUCGGAGUUGGUGAAAACGUCCAUCAUGGAGACGUUCUCAUCCGCCCAGAGAUUCAUGGUCGGUGGUAAUCGAUAGUCGGUCAUUCCAUACAGUGAUGGGAGUUGAGAAUGGAAUCGGAUCCGGCGGACGGUGGCCGGAGGAGUGGAGAGUUAGAAUAUGGGUUGAAAAUUGACGGCGGAGGGAGAGAUGAAAU
Molecule: unclassified non-coding RNA, 342 nt
Filed under: Hevea brasiliensis (rubber tree)
Lineage: Eukaryota; Viridiplantae; Streptophyta; Magnoliopsida; Malpighiales; Euphorbiaceae
Source: RNAcentral